ACACUGCUGAGGAGUCUCAUGCUAGGAUGAAACGGCCGUCCAGUGU
Schistosoma margrebowiei is the source of this 46-nucleotide non-coding RNA. The record is from Rfam. Lineage: Eukaryota; Metazoa; Platyhelminthes; Trematoda; Strigeidida; Schistosomatidae.